UACGAAGGUGGCAAGCGUUACUCGGAAUUACUGGGCGUAGAGCGCGUGUAGGCGGGAAACUAAGUCAGGGGUGAAAUCCCAGAGCUUAACUCUGGAAUUGCCUUUGAAACUAGUUUUCUUGAGUAUGGUAGAGGAUGGUGGAAUUUCUAGUGUAGAGGUGAAAUUCGUAGAUAUUAGAAGGAACACCAGUGGCGAAGGCGACCAUCUGGACCAUUACUGACGCUGAGACGCGAAAGCGUGGGGAGCAAACAGG
This 253-nucleotide ribosomal RNA is filed under the name uncultured bacterium. RNAcentral describes it as "partial 16S ribosomal RNA". It matches the Rfam family "Bacterial small subunit ribosomal RNA", at positions 524 to 776 of the family's 1533-position model. The record is from RNAcentral.